This 253-nucleotide ribosomal RNA is filed under the name uncultured bacterium. Its description in RNAcentral is "partial 16S ribosomal RNA". It matches the Rfam family "Bacterial small subunit ribosomal RNA", at positions 524 to 776 of the family's 1533-position model. The record is from RNAcentral.
UACGGAGGAUCCAAGCGUUAUCCGGAUUUAUUGGGUUUAAAGGGUGCGUAGGCGGCCUAUUAAGUCAGGGGUGAAAGACGGUAGCUUAACUAUCGCAGUGCCUUUGAUACUGAUGGGCUUGAAUGUACUUGAGGUAGGCGGAAUGUGACAAGUAGCGGUGAAAUGCAUAGAUAUGUCACAGAGCACCAAUUGCGAAGGCAGCUUACUAAAGUAUGAUUGACGCUGAGGCACGAAAGCGUGGGGAUCAAACAGG